UUUAUGGAGAGUUUGAUCCUGGCUCAGGAUGAACGCUGGCGGCGUGCCUAAUACAUGCAAGUCGAGCGAACAGACGAGGAGCUUGCUCCUCUGACGUUAGCGGCGGACGGGUGAGUAACACGUGGAUAACCUACCUAUAAGACUGGGAUAACUUCGGGAAACCGGAGCUAAUACCGGAUAACAUGUUGAACCGCAUGGUUCAACAGUGAAAGACGGUCUUGCUGUCACUUAUAGAUGGAUCCGCGCCGCAUUAGCUAGUUGGUAAGGUAACGGCUUACCAAGGCAACGAUGCGUAGCCGACCUGAGAGGGUGAUCGGCCACACUGGAACUGAGACACGGUCCAGACUCCUACGGGAGGCAGCAGUAGGGAAUCUUCCGCAAUGGGCGAAAGCCUGACGGAGCAACGCCGCGUGAGUGAAGAAGGUCUUCGGAUCGUAAAACUCUGUUAUUAGGGAAGAACAAAUGUGUAAGUAACUAUGCACGUCUUGACGGUACCUAAUCAGAAAGCCACGGCUAACUACGUGCCAGCAGCCGCGGUAAUACGUAGGUGGCAAGCGUU
RNAcentral lists this ribosomal RNA (559 nucleotides) under Staphylococcus capitis. Its description in RNAcentral is "bacterial SSU rRNA". It matches the Rfam family "Bacterial small subunit ribosomal RNA", at positions 1 to 542 of the family's 1533-position model. Lineage: Bacteria; Bacillati; Bacillota; Bacilli; Caryophanales; Staphylococcaceae. The record is from RNAcentral.